Molecule: unclassified non-coding RNA, 317 nt
Filed under: Hevea brasiliensis (rubber tree)
Lineage: Eukaryota; Viridiplantae; Streptophyta; Magnoliopsida; Malpighiales; Euphorbiaceae
Source: RNAcentral
GGGUGGUGUGAGAAGAAGUCAAGUAUCCUCCAGGUUUCCUGAAUGUGUGAUUUAGGGUUGGGUUUGAGAGCAUGGACCAUGUCAGGGAACUUCAUCCCAUCACGGAUGAAAAAGACAGGGAAAUUGUUGCCCACCAGGUCGAAGUUACCCUCUCUGGUGUAAAACUUGACAGCAAAACCUCGGGGGUCUCUGAGAGUUUCAGGACUUCCAAGCUCAUGGAUAACAGUAGAAAACCUGACAAUAACAGGGGUCUGGACUCCAGGGGCUCGAAGGAAAUCAGCGCAGGUGAGAUGAGAGAUAUCAUGAGUUACUUCAAA